ACCAACAGGGAUUACCUCAGUAACGGCGAGUGAAGCGGUAACAGCUCAAAUUUGAAAUCUGGCUCUCGGGCCCGAGUUGUAAUUUGUAGAAGAUGCUUUGGGUGUGGCUCCGGUCUAAGUUCCUUGGAACAGGACGUCAUAGAGGGUGAGAAUCCCGUACGUGACUGGUCGCCUUCCCCGUGUAAAGCUCUUUCGACGAGUCGAGUUGUUUGGGAAUGCAGCUCAAAAUGGGUGGUAUAUUUCAUCUAAAGCUAAAUAUUGGCCAGAGACCGAUAGCGCACAAGUAGAGUGAUCGAAAGAUGAAAAGCACUUUGGAAAGAGAGUUAAACAGUACGUGAAAUUGUUGAAAGGGAAGCGCUUGCAACCAGACUUGCAGGCUGCUGAUCAUCCGGGGUUCUCCCCGGUGCACUCGGCAGUUUUCAGGCCAGCAUCGGUUUGGGUGGUGGGAUAAAGGCCUUGGGAAUGUGGCUCUCUUCGGGGAGUGUUAUAGCCCAAGGUGCAAUGCCGCCUACCUGGACCGAGGACCGCGCUUCGGCUAGGAUGCUGGCGUAAUGGUUGUAAGCGACCCGUCUUGAAACACGGACCAAGGAGUCUAACAUCUAUGCGAGUGUUUGGGUGUUAAACCCAUGCGCGUAAUUAACGUGAACGGAGGUAAGAACCCUUAAGGGUGCAUUAUCGACCGAUCCUGAUGUCUUCGGAUGGAUUUGAGUAAGAGCAUAGCUGUUGGGACCCGAAAGAUGGUGAACUAUGCCUGAAUAGGGUGAAGCCAGAGGAAACUCUGGUGGAGGCUCGCAGCGGUUCUGACGUGCAAAUCGAUCGUCAAAUUUGGGUAUAGGGGCGAAAGACUAAUCGAAC
This 855-nucleotide ribosomal RNA is filed under the name Mimicoscypha mimica. Its description in RNAcentral is "partial large subunit ribosomal RNA". It matches the Rfam family "Eukaryotic large subunit ribosomal RNA", at positions 64 to 940 of the family's 3401-position model. The record is from RNAcentral. Lineage: Eukaryota; Fungi; Ascomycota; Leotiomycetes; Helotiales; Hyaloscyphaceae.